This is a long non-coding RNA of Daphnia carinata, 1219 nucleotides long. RefSeq lists it as uncharacterized. The record is from RefSeq and is a predicted model, not a curated record. NCBI's taxonomy places the organism in Eukaryota, Metazoa, Arthropoda, Branchiopoda, Diplostraca, Daphniidae. The transcript has 8 exons.
GAUGACGAUCACUGCCAGGUUGAUCGCCAAGUAUUCUUAUGUAUUAGACCUAUAAUUUCAAAUAUUUAAUCUUAUUUUUUGUUUGUUUUUAGAAUAGGAGACCCGAGAUCGUAGGCUACUAGCUGUGUGAAAAAAUAGGACGAUGAUUCAUUCUGGAAAAUAGCAUAAUGAUCUACCUAGUCUGGUCGAGCGGUACAUCCCGUUUUAAUAACCCCAUGAAAAUUUGAGGGGGGUAAAACACGUCAGCCACGUUCUGCUAGGCUUGAUAACAAGAUUGAGCAACAUAAAUAGGCUGUAAAUUUUGUUUUGCCAUUCAAAAUACAUUGCAUGUCACUUUGAAUUCAGCCUCAUUGAAUGGGUGUAGGAAUUUAAGACAGACCAGAAAAGUAAACUUGUCAAAAGAACUAGUGAUUGGAAUGAUAGUUAAAGAAGGAUAUUGCAAUGAUGUUGGAAUUAAACUAAUAUAACCAAAUCAUGAGUUGGAAAUAAAAAAGGAUGUGGUUUACAAUGCCAUUGCUUUUGCAGCCUUUGGGUUAUUCAAUGACUGGAUUUGGAUUUAUUGCUUAGUCAGAUAUUAUUGCAAGCCGGAGGGGAAACGAGUUAUGUCUGUGAUAAAGAGCUCAUUAAACGGCCAGAAACUUCAGCAUCUAUUGUUUCUCCCAUUUUACCAUUCGUGGUUUUGAGUUUAUUGACCAGCACGGUUCGGAAAAAAACAUCCUUCUUUUCGGCCAUUUGCCGUGUUCUUGUUUCAAAGGGGAUUGCAGAAAUUACCCAACGGGAUCAGCAGUUUCCCUUUAUAGUUUUAUUGGAUAAAUUUGAUCUUAAGGAUUGACAAAACUAGCUCUUUUGCUCUGGAGAAAAAGAAACUUUUGGACAUUUCUAUGGCUUACCUCUUAAAUUGCUAAUCAGAGUUACUAGCAUUAUUAUUUUGAAUGGAUGUAUUACUUGACUUUUCUGUAAUAUUUGCAGUGUUAUCUUGGACAAAUUAUGCGGCAUUUUUAUGCGCAGUUGUGAAACUAUCGAUGGAUACCCACCAAUUUAGAAAAGAAAUAGUCGGCGAUAUAAGAUAACUUACAUCAAUAAUAUUUUAUUUGCUAUUGAUCGUUUUAACAGAAAUUAUUUUUAGUGGUUUCUAGUGCUAUUUAUUGAUUAAUUUCCUUUCCCAUUUUUAUGUGGACAGUGUUUCGGUAGAGUCGGUUGGUGUAUGUUUCCAGACAUG